CGAAGGGUUGCCAGUGUCUAGAGGCAAAAAUGUGUUGCUCGUAGUGGUUGAUUGCUUCUCCAAAUUUGCUCACUUCCUUCCCCUUUCACGCCCAUACACAGCUGUAAGUGUGGCGAGAGUAUUCUUUGAUCACAUCUUCAAGUUACAUGGUUUACCUGAAACUAUGGUUAGUGAUCGUGAUGUUACAUUUACAAGUUCCUUCUGGACUGAAUUAUUUCAAUUGAGUGGAACUAAAUUAUCUUUUAGCUCAGCAUAUCACCCACUCCGAUGGCCAAACGGAAGUGGUUAACAGGACAGUAGAGAUGUAUCUUCAUUGUUUUACUAGUGAACAUCCAACCAAAUGGAUGGAUUGGUUAUCUUGG
RNAcentral lists this unclassified non-coding RNA (362 nucleotides) under Hevea brasiliensis (rubber tree). The record is from RNAcentral. Lineage: Eukaryota; Viridiplantae; Streptophyta; Magnoliopsida; Malpighiales; Euphorbiaceae.